This 197-nucleotide ribosomal RNA is filed under the name uncultured bacterium. RNAcentral's name for it is "partial 16S ribosomal RNA". It matches the Rfam family "Bacterial small subunit ribosomal RNA", at positions 328 to 539 of the family's 1533-position model. The record is from RNAcentral.
ACGCUCGACACCUACGGAGGCAGCAGUGGGGAAUAUUGCACAAUGGAGGAAACUCUGAUGCAGCGAUGCCGCGUGAGGGAAGAAGGUUUUCGGAUUGUAAACCUCUGUCUUUGGGGACGAUAAUGACGGUACCCAAGGAGGAAGCUCCGGCUAACUACGUGCCAACAGCCGCGGUAAUCUGAGCGGGCUGGCAAGGC